RNAcentral lists this ribosomal RNA (480 nucleotides) under uncultured bacterium. Its description in RNAcentral is "bacterial SSU rRNA". It matches the Rfam family "Bacterial small subunit ribosomal RNA", at positions 30 to 502 of the family's 1533-position model. The record is from RNAcentral.
AUUGAACGCUGGCGGCAUGCCUUACACAUGCAAGUCGAACGGUAACAGGGAGCUUGCUCCGCUGACGAGUGGCGAACGGGUGAGUAAUGUAUCGGAACGUACCAUUCAGUGGGGGAUAACGUAGCGAAAGUUACGCUAAUACCGCAUAUUCUGUGAGCAGGAAAGCAGGGGAUCGCAAGACCUUGCGCUGAUUGAGCGGCCGAUAUCAGAUUAGCUAGUUGGUGAGGUAAAGGCUCACCAAGGCGACGAUCUGUAGCGGGUCUGAGAGGAUGAUCCGCCACACUGGAACUGAGACACGGUCCAAACUCCUACGGGAGGCAGCAGUAAGGAGUUUUCGGCAAUGGGGGAAACCCUGACCGAGCAACGCCGCGUGAGUGAUGACGGCCCUAUGGGUUGUAAAGCUCUGUUAUAAGGGACGAACAGCUUUGCGAGGAAAUGCGCAGAGUCUGACGGUACUUUAUCAGAAAGCCACGGCUAACU